CAAUGGGGGGAAACCCUGNAUGCAGCAACGCCCGCGNUGAGUGAAGAAGUAUUUCGGNNAANANAAAGCUCUANAAAACAGGNAAAGAAAAUGACGGUACCUGACUAUUCAAGCCCCGGCUAACUACGUGCCAGCAGCCGCGGUAAUACGUAGGGGGCAAGCGUUAUCCGGAUUUACUGGGUGUAAAGGGAGCGUAGACNGUUUUGCAAGUCUGAAGUGAAAGCCCGGGGCUUAACCCCGGGACUGCUUUGGAAACUGUAGAACUAGAGUGCAGGAGAGGUAAGUGGAAUUCCUAGUGUAGCGGUGAAAUGCGUAGAUAUUAGGAGGAACACCAGUGGCGAAGGCGGCUUACUGGACUGUAACUGACGUUGAGGCUCGAAAGCGUGGGGAGCAAACAGGAUUAGAUACCCUGGUAGUCCAAGGGCGAAUUC
This 431-nucleotide ribosomal RNA is filed under the name uncultured bacterium. RNAcentral describes it as "partial small subunit ribosomal RNA". It matches the Rfam family "Bacterial small subunit ribosomal RNA", at positions 369 to 808 of the family's 1533-position model. The record is from RNAcentral.